CCUACGGGAGGCAGCAGUGAGGAAUAUUGGUCAAUGGGCGCGAGCCUGAACCAGCCAAGUAGCGUGAAGGAUGACUGCCCUACGGGUUGUAAACUUCUUUUAUAAAGGAGUAAAAUGAGGCACGUUUGCCUUUUUGUAUGUACUUUAUGAAUAAGGAUCGGCUAACUCCGUGCCAGCAGCCGCGGUAUUACGGAGGAUCCGAGCGUUAUCCGGAUGUAUGGGGUUUAAGGGGAGCGUAGAUGGGUUGGUAAGUCAGUAGUGAAAGUUUGCGGCUCAACCGUAAAAUUGCAAUUGAUACUGGCAGUCUAGAGUACAGGUGAGGUAGGCGGAAUUCGUGGUGUAGCGGUGAAAUGCUUAGAUAUCACGAAGAACUCCGAUUGCGAAGGCAGCUUACUAAACUGCAACUGACAUUGAUGCUCGAAAGUGUGGGUAUCAAACAGGAUUAGAUACCCUUGUAGUC
Molecule: ribosomal RNA, 460 nt
Filed under: uncultured bacterium
Lineage: Bacteria
Description: partial 16S ribosomal RNA
Rfam family: Bacterial small subunit ribosomal RNA
Source: RNAcentral